CCUACGGGUGGCAGCAGUCGAGAAUCUUUCACAAUGGGGGCAACCCUGAUGGAGCGACGCCGCGUGGAGGAUAAGGUCUUCGGAUUGUAAACUCCUGUCAUGUGUGAACAAGGUUGUCUUGUUAAUAGCGAGGCAAAUUGAUGGUAACACAAGAGGAAGAGACGGCUAACUCUGUGCCAGCAGCCGCGGUAAUACAGAGGUCUCAAGCGUUGUUCGGAAUCACUGGGCGUAAAGGGUGCGUAGGUGGCGUGGAAAGUCAGAUGUGAAAGCCCGGGGCUCAACCUCGGAAUAGCAUCCGAUACGCCCAUGCUAGAGUACUGAAGAGGUGACUAGAAUGCUCGGGGUAGCAGUGAAAUGCGUAGAUAUCGAGAGGAAUACCAACGGCGAAGGCAGGUCACUGGGCAGUUACUGACACUGAGGCACGAAGGCCAGGGGAGCAAACGGGAUUAGAUACCCGGGUAGUC
RNAcentral lists this ribosomal RNA (464 nucleotides) under uncultured Prosthecobacter sp. RNAcentral describes it as "bacterial SSU rRNA". It matches the Rfam family "Bacterial small subunit ribosomal RNA", at positions 338 to 795 of the family's 1533-position model. Lineage: Bacteria; Pseudomonadati; Verrucomicrobiota; Verrucomicrobiia; Verrucomicrobiales; Verrucomicrobiaceae. The record is from RNAcentral.